GACGGUCUUGCUGUCACUUAUAGAUGGAUCCGCGCUGCAUUAGCUAGUUGGUAAGGUAACGGCUUACCAAGGCAACGAUGCAUAGCCGACCUGAGAGGGUGAUCGGCCACACUGGAACUGAGACACGGUCCAGACUCCUACGGGAGGCAGCAGUAGGGAAUCUUCCGCAAUGGGCGAAAGCCUGACGGAGCAACGCCGCGUGAGUGAUGAAGGUCUUCGGAUCGUAAAACUCUGUUAUUAGGGAAGAACAUAUGUGUAAGUAACUGUGCACAUCUUGACGGUACCUAAUCAGAAAGCCACGGCUAACUACGUGCCAGCAGCCGCGGUAAUACGUAGGUGGCAAGCGUUAUCCGGAAUUAUUG
RNAcentral lists this ribosomal RNA (362 nucleotides) under Staphylococcus aureus. RNAcentral describes it as "bacterial SSU rRNA". It matches the Rfam family "Bacterial small subunit ribosomal RNA", at positions 202 to 556 of the family's 1533-position model. The record is from RNAcentral. Lineage: Bacteria; Bacillati; Bacillota; Bacilli; Caryophanales; Staphylococcaceae.